UCGAUUGCCUAAAUAUGUAUUAUUACCAUCCUUUAAAUAAACUCGAAAUUUUUCCCAAAAGACCACCACGUUAUGUGUUGAAUAAUUCGUAGGCAUUGUAAACGAGUCUGCACUGAUUGUAGCUUUCACUAAAUGGACAACCUCCUUUCUUUAGGUUAUGGCUAGUCGAAUAGGAUGACCAGAGUGGGAUUGCGGAUUACGGCCCGCUUUUUUUUAUUGGGACUCCUUUAGGCUAGGAUAUACGGUUUUUACGCUGGUAAAUCCG
Non-coding RNA from Cinara cedri, 265 nucleotides. The record is from the annotation of a GenBank genome assembly. NCBI's taxonomy places the organism in Eukaryota, Metazoa, Arthropoda, Insecta, Hemiptera, Aphididae.